GUUAAAUGGCCGCAGUAUUUUGACUGUGCGAAGGUAGCAUAAUAAUUAGUUUUUUAAUUGAAAGCUGGAAUGAAUGAUUGGACGAGAAAAAAUCUGUCUCAAUUUUAUUUAAUUAGAAUUUUAUUUUUAAGKAAAAAAGCUUAAAUAUUUUUAAAAGACGAGAAGACCCUAUAGAGUUUUAUACAUUUAUUUUUAUUUAUUUUUUGGUAUUAUAGGAUUUAUAUAAAAAAAUAGUAUUUAGUUGGGGUGAUUAAAAAAUUAAUUAAACUUUUUUUUUAUWAUWACAUUAAUAUAUGAUUAAUUGAUCCAUUUUUUAUGAUUAUAAGAUUAAAUUACCUUAGGGAUAACAGCGUUAUUUUUUUUUAGAGUUCUUAUCGAAAAAAAA
RNAcentral lists this ribosomal RNA (385 nucleotides) under Pleophylla sp. BNHM835047. RNAcentral's name for it is "partial 16S ribosomal RNA". The record is from RNAcentral. Lineage: Eukaryota; Metazoa; Arthropoda; Insecta; Coleoptera; Scarabaeidae.